RNAcentral lists this ribosomal RNA (253 nucleotides) under uncultured bacterium. RNAcentral describes it as "partial 16S ribosomal RNA". It matches the Rfam family "Bacterial small subunit ribosomal RNA", at positions 524 to 776 of the family's 1533-position model. The record is from RNAcentral.
UACGGAGGGGACUAGCGUUGUUCGGAAUUACUGGGCGUAAAGCGCACGUAGGCGGAUUUGUAAGUCAGGGGUGAAAUCCCGGGGCUCAACCCCGGAACUGCCUUUGAUACUGCAAAUCUCGAGUGCGGAAGAGGUGAGUGGAAUUCCUAGUGUAGAGGUGAAAUUCGUAGAUAUUAGGAAGAACACCAGUGGCGAAGGCGGCUCACUGGUCCGGUACUGACGCUGAGGUGCGAAAGCGUGGGGAGCAAACAGG